Molecule: ribosomal RNA, 459 nt
Filed under: uncultured bacterium
Lineage: Bacteria
Description: bacterial SSU rRNA
Rfam family: Bacterial small subunit ribosomal RNA
Source: RNAcentral
GCAGUCGAGCGGACCGAAGGGAGCUUGCUCCUUUAGGUUAGCGGCGGACGGGUGAGUAACACGUGGGCAACCUGCCCUGCAGACUGGGAUAACUUCGGGAAACCGGAGCUAAUACCGGAUAACACCGAAAACCGCAUGGUUUUCGGUUGAAAGGCGGCUUUUAGCUGUCACUGCAGGAUGGGCCCGCGGCGCAUUAGCUAGUUGGUGAGGUAACGGCUCACCAAGGCGACGAUGCGUAGCCGACCUGAGAGGGUGACCGGCCACACUGGGACUGAGACACGGCCCAGACUCCUACGGGAGGCAGCAGUGGGGAAUAUUGCACAAUGGGCGAAAGCCUGAUGCAGCAACGCCGCGUGCGGGAUGAAGGCCCUAGGGUUGUAAACCGCUUUCAGCAGGGAAGAAAAUGACGGUACCUGUAGAAGAAGGUGCGGCCAACUACGUGCCAGCAGCCGCGGUAAU